RNAcentral lists this long non-coding RNA (444 nucleotides) under Manihot esculenta (cassava). Its description in RNAcentral is "long non-coding RNA (MESC_LNC001622)". The record is from RNAcentral. Lineage: Eukaryota; Viridiplantae; Streptophyta; Magnoliopsida; Malpighiales; Euphorbiaceae.
UCAAGCACAACUCUAUCCUCAAUAACCUCAUUACAUAACAUACUGAAUAUUUUUACAUUUCAUCAUAAUAAAAUUGUCAUGUCCACAAUCUAACUAUUACAUACAUAUGACUUUCUUUUUCUCUUCUUGCCUUCUCUAUCUAUCCCGUACCUGCAAACCUGGGGGUUAGGGGAGAGGGGUGAGCUAGAUGCCCAGUGAGUAGAACUAUAGAAAGAAUAUUUAAAACAUGCCAUCAUGAAAUGCGUCACUGCGCAAACAAAUCACACCACGGAUGGACUGAUUCAAAAAUCCCUCAACUCCAUGCCCGGCCCUAUUAUGGGCACCACAGGACUUCGUAUUGCCCGGCCCUAUUAUGGGCACCACAGGACUUCGUACUCGGAGUUAUUGCCCGGCCCUAUUAUGGGCACAACAGGACUUCGUAUUCAGAAGGCUAAUGAAUCAUCC